This is a long non-coding RNA of Saccostrea cuccullata (small rock oyster), 541 nucleotides long. RefSeq lists it as uncharacterized. The transcript is spliced from 2 exons. Lineage: Eukaryota; Metazoa; Mollusca; Bivalvia; Ostreida; Ostreidae. The record is from RefSeq and is a predicted model, not a curated record.
UAUGUGUUACGAUAGAUAUCGUGGAACAUUCUAUUGCCCUGGAAAUGGCACAUGUUGUGGAAGUUCUGGAAAUCAGUUUUGUUGUGAUGAGAAAUACAGAUCUUCAAUUACGUCACGAGAUGCUUUUUAUUUCCUCGGAGUGCUCGGAUUGAUAUUCUUGGUUGCAGUGGUGGGAAUUUCAGUCUUUUGCAAUUAUUUGAGAAAGACUGAACGACGCAGAUCAUUAAUAAGUUCAAGGACGACCCGAAGCCUUGGUGAGCUGACAGAGACGGCCUCGCAGACCGAAGACAUUAGGCAGGGAACCUCAAGAUUGUCGCCGAGGGCUUCAGUGUUCCCACACAAUGUUUAUGGUUCGACAUAUCAGUACAGUUUGUCAGGGGAUCAGAGCGGGGCACAGACAGAGACACACACUAAUCAACAGAAUACUCCCCCGAGCUCUGUUCCGAGAGAAGAUCCGCCUCCUUACAGCCAAACGUUAUAGGAAAAUUAAUGAAAUUACGUCGCUUCACAUUUUAUGUCAUAAUUAUAUUUUAUUACUGAA